Molecule: ribosomal RNA, 222 nt
Filed under: Glomus sp. (unid)
Lineage: Eukaryota; Fungi; Glomeromycota; Glomeromycetes; Glomerales; Glomeraceae
Source: RNAcentral
CAGUCGUACCGACGAGAAAUCAACCUUUCGAGUGCGAACCUGCGGGCGUGCGUGAGUCUUUAACGGGCCUCGCUGUUUGCAAUGUUUGUGCUUUUGGGGUGUACUUUUUCGUAUGGUAGGCCAACGUCAGUUUCGAUCACCGUAAAAUGAUCGGAGGAAUGUAGCUUCGAUCUCGUAUUGAAGUGUUAUAGCCUCUGGUAGAUGCGGUGACUGAAACUGAGG